RNAcentral lists this ribosomal RNA (497 nucleotides) under uncultured bacterium. RNAcentral describes it as "partial 16S ribosomal RNA". It matches the Rfam family "Bacterial small subunit ribosomal RNA", at positions 28 to 507 of the family's 1533-position model. The record is from RNAcentral.
GAUGAACGCUGGCGGCGUGCCUAAUACAUGCCAGUCGAGCGAACAGAUGAGGAGCUUGCUCCUCUGACGUUAGCGGCGGACGGGUGAGUAACACGUGGAUAACCUACCUAUAAGACUGGGAUAACUUCGGGAAACCGGAGCUAAUACCGGAUAAUAUAUUGAACCGCAUGGUUCAAUAGUGAAAGACGGUUUUGCUGUCACUUAUAGAUGGAUCCGCGCCGCAUUAGCUAGUUGGUAAGGUAACGGCUUACCAAGGCAACGAUGCGUAGCCGACCUGAGAAGGUGAUCGGCCACACUGGAACUGAGACACGGUCCAGACUCCUACGGGAGGCAGCAGUAGGGAAUCUUCCGCAAUGGGCGAAAGCCUGACGGAGCAACGCCGCGUGAGUGAUGAAGGUCUUCGGAUCGUAAAACUCUGUUAUUAGGGAAGAACAAAUGUGUAAGUAACUAUGCACGUCUUGACGGUACCUAAUCAGAAAGCCACGGCUAACUACGUG